This 375-nucleotide ribosomal RNA is filed under the name Triticum aestivum (bread wheat). RNAcentral's name for it is "partial small subunit ribosomal RNA". Lineage: Eukaryota; Viridiplantae; Streptophyta; Magnoliopsida; Poales; Poaceae. The record is from RNAcentral.
AUGGUCGUAGAUCGUAACUGGGCUGUGAGGUAUUACCCAAAUAGCUACAAGGCACCUGGUCACAGAUAUGUAUUUCUGAUUCUUGAUUCGGCUGAUGCCAAGGAUGUGAAGGCGAAAUUCACCUUUAGCUUACUUGACAAGGGUGGAGAACCAGUGCCUUCAUACAUCAAAACUGUGACAGAACAUAUUUUCCAAAGCAAAGGUUACGGUUACGGUUUCCCUGAGUUUAUCAAGCAGGAGGAUCUGGAGAGAUCAGCACAUCCAAGAGGCGAUUGUUUCAGAAUCAGGUGCGAUGUCUCCGUGGUGAAGAUGAUCCGCAGCCAAGAGAUGCAUGCAAAGCAGUUCGUUGUGGUUCCUCCAAGCGACUUGCAUUGA